UACGUAGGGGGCAAGCGUUGUCCGGAUUUAUUGGGCGUAAAGAGCUCGUAGGUGGUUCGGUAAGUCGGAUGUGAAAUCUCCAGGCUCAACCUGGAGGGGUCAUUCGAUACUGCCGUGACUAGAGUUCGGUAGGGGAGUGUGGAAUUCCUGGUGGAGCGGUGAAAUGCGCAGAUAUCAGGAGGAACACCCGUAGCGAAGGCGGCACUCUGGGCCGAUACUGACACUGAGUGAGCGAAAGCCAGGGGAGCAAACGGG
This 255-nucleotide ribosomal RNA is filed under the name uncultured bacterium. Its description in RNAcentral is "partial 16S ribosomal RNA". It matches the Rfam family "Bacterial small subunit ribosomal RNA", at positions 524 to 776 of the family's 1533-position model. The record is from RNAcentral.